CUGCAUAUCAUUUUAUGGCCGCUUGAAUCUAUAACAUUACAAGUUUCAAUAGUUUUAUUUAUUAAAAAUGUCUUUCAAUAGCUUUGAAAGAUUAUACUAAAACUCUCACAUGGGAAAAAUGUUUGUAUCAAUGAUCUAUUAAACCUAUUUAGAAACUUAAGACUAUGCCUUCGCAACAUUACAAAAAUAAAAAAAUAUGCAUUCAGCACCUUGUUUGAUGGGGUUGGGAGAGGGAAAGUUGUGCCCAACACGAACACAUCCAAACUUUAAAAGCAUUCAUCCACCAUUUUUAGGAAGAGCAUUUUUAGUAUACUAACGUUAAUAUUUCCUUUUAAUGAAGUAUCUAAGAAUUUUCCGAAAGAAAUGUACUACAAUUGAAAGGAGCACAAUGCAUCCCAUUGGUUGGAAAGAGCUUGGACUAGUUGACUUACUUGUUGGCGCUGAUGAGACCAUUUUUGAGCCAUAGGGCACUCAGUUUCUAUUGAUGCUGCUAAAGUCUGAAGGUCCUUAGAAUUUGCAUGCCACUCCUGAGCAGUAGUAUCUGCCAAAUUCUUAUUAGAAUAAGCCUCCUGCUUUAAAAUAUCAAUCUCCUCAUAAAGCAUGUUAAUCUGGCCCUGUAGCUUAAGAAUUCUAUUCCUCAGCUCUUGGUCUCUCUCUCUGGCUGCCUUGAUCUUCUCUGUCAACUCUCUAGCUCUAGUAGUCUUGGAAACAAAGUUGUCCAAGUGAUUAGUCAGAGAGGUUAGCUCAAGCUGAUAGGCAGAGUAGGAAGUGAUCAACUGGGGAAUCUCUAUCUGCAGCUUGUCCAACCUCUCUCGGACCUCCAAUGUAUGAGAUGGACUUCUAAGUAGGAUUUUGAUGGCUCCUAAUGCCACAUCUCUUUGUUCUACACUCAGGUAAGGAAGUUUUAUUGUUAGAAUCUCCAUCAGCUUGGUCUUUGCAGGCUCAACUUCCUCUGGGCUAGAAGGCUCUUCUAAUGAAGUAAAGGAUGGCACAACAGAAGUAAGAUCCAAAAAGGACAAGUCCAAUGACUCUAGAGGAUUGUUGAAUUGCUCCAAACUAGCAUCCUCUAGAAUGCAGAAAGGGGCCUGACCACUUGAAGAAGAAGCCUCACAUUCAAGGGAUGGAGCAAGGCUUUUGAAGACACAGCUUUGAGCAUCAACUGUAUUGAAUGAGUGAUUGUAAGAGGUUGAGUUAAGGAAAUGAUGAUCCACAACAGUAUCCAUGAAAAGGGUCUCCUCUUGGGCCUCAUGAUCUUCACUAUAUCCACUCUCAACCUCAUCCUCUUCUUCUAUGCUCUCGUCCUUUCUCAACUUGUUGGAUAUACACAUUUGGUUACUAGAGGAUUGUUGAGUUCCUUGAGUGGUAAGGAUCUUAUCUUUCCCUUUGUUUUGCUCCUUGGAAUGUGGAGAAGAGACGAUAACCUGUCGUUCUGUUCCUUCCGCAUCAAAUCUGCGCUUUCCAUUGUCUUUCUCAUCAUUGUGAUAGUCAUCAAGAUCUCUUCCAAUACUAGUGCCUUCUGCUUUGUUGAAAGAAAACGUUAAGGACAUCUUGCUAGGGUCAUAAGAAUAGCUAGGUUGCGUCACUGGGGGAUUUUCUACCACAUCACCAAUGUACAUUAAUCGGAUCAAUAUAUAUUUUAGCUUGUAGCAAGGCUUGGCACAUGAAGUUUCAAGAUAUGCAUCAAAUGUGGCCUUAUUCCAUUCAGAUUCAUACAACCAAUCAUCACUUACCAGUUGAGUUUCAGAUGUGAAGUAGGAAGAUCCAUACUCAAACGGCAAAUGUCUAAGCUGUAUUGAUACUCGUUUGCUUUCACCACAAGCACUAUUGAAUUGGCAUUCCCACCUACUGUAAAAAUAAUCAUCACUCCCAUUGCUGUCCUCAAGCGAAAGGAUAGCAAGUACAGUGAAACCCACGAACUCAUCUCUAAGCCAAUUUUGAGGCAGCUGAAUAGUAAUUGAAGAUCCUUCACUUUGGUGGUAGCAACCAAAACUUCCUAAUGGAAAGGUACUUAUCUCCUUGGGAAAGAGUAAAGCAGCUCCCACAAAUUGUAUUCUCUGAUAUAUUACAUGCCAAAAAUCUGCAAUCUUCUCCUGUUCCAAUUUUGAGUGAUUAAAGAAUGGAAAGCUAUCAUGAUGACAGAUACCUAUACUAUGUCUUUCCAAUUCCCCUUGGUUAUCUACUUUUGCAUAUCCUUGCAAUUGUGGAAGUCUCGUCCGUUUGAUUAAAUCAAGUUCUUCAGGCCAUAUAGAUGCCCUCUGGAAAUUGUUUUCAUCCCAAGCGCACGUAAUUUCUAUAAUAUAAAUGCAUGUUUCAGUUAUUUUCCAUUUAUAAGCGAAGUUUACUUGAGAAAUGUCACUUGGGAUAUUUCCAUGGUGCAAUGCAGUUGCUGAAGAUUCUCCUUCGAAGAUAGUUCCAGUGAAUUCUAAAUAUUCUAUAUCGCCAACUUCUGGAAACUUCUCAUGAUUCGAGCAGCCAAGAAGGUCAAUACACUUGAUAGAUCUUCGACAUGGAACACUUGUAAUCUUUCUACAGUGCCGGAAAUUCAUGUCAACAAGCUUGUCAAGAUUUGCAAUAGAUGCAGGCACCUCCGUCAAACAUACACUGUCUUGGCAAUUAAUCUUCUCAAGAUUUGAGAGCCCUGAUAAGUCUGGCAAUUCAAUCAAAUUUUUACAACCAUCCAGAAUGAUGGCUUUCAAAUUUGAAAGAUCCUGUAUUCCAGUCCAAAGUCGUUCAAUUUGGCUUUCAGACAUGUCUAAUACAUCAGGGUUGUCAGGAUGAAAAUUUGAUGGCAAAGAUUUCAAAGGAUAGAAAUUCCAUUGGAAAUGUCUUAGCUCAUCAGGGAGGGAUUCCAAGCCUUCAGGGAAUUGUAUACCAUGUUUGGAACCAUAAAAGAUGAGCAGUUUGAUCUGCUUCAUCUUGGCAAAAGCUGUAGGAGAUAAGCAUAAUCCACUUAGUUUUGACUUGUCUAAGAGCAUGGCUUCAAUUGCUUCACUUGCAGUAUUUUUGGUCAACACAUGACAAAUAUCCUCGUAAUCCCAUAAUCUACUUCGUUUGCCUGGUUCUUUCAAGGAUUCUUCACGAACAAUUUGUCUACCCAUUUCUUGUACCAAAUCAUGCAUCUCUACCAUGUUGUUCGAAAUGUCAACAAGACACUUAUCAGCAAGGACUCUUAAGUUAAUUGAAGUAUGAAAACCACAAGCGUCCAGUAGUUUUUCUGCAUCAAAUAUGGACACCCCUUUAAGGAAACAUGCCAUAUGAAGAAAUGUUUGUUGCUCAUCAAAGUCAAGCCCUUGGUAACUUGUUUUUAGCACAUCUUGUAUCUUCACGUGAGGAGUUUUCUCAAGUUUACUCAAUGCACUUUCCCAUUCUAUCUUGCUCUUUCUAUACAAAAAUACACCAAGAACUUUAAGACCUAAAGGGAUGCCUUUUACAUAACUUACUACUUUCUUUGAUAGUCCCAUCAUAUCUCCCUCGGGCAGUCUUUUCUUAAAGGCAAACAAACUGAAAAGCUCAAGACUGUCCGGCUUACUUAGUGCUUGAACCUCAUAAAUUUCAUCAACUCUAUCUUGAAACACGUGUUUAUCUCUGCUUGUCACGAUGAUUCUACUUCCAGCGCCAUACCAAGC
This 3626-nucleotide unclassified non-coding RNA is filed under the name Hevea brasiliensis (rubber tree). The record is from RNAcentral. Lineage: Eukaryota; Viridiplantae; Streptophyta; Magnoliopsida; Malpighiales; Euphorbiaceae.